Molecule: ribosomal RNA, 2791 nt
Filed under: Escherichia coli
Lineage: Bacteria; Pseudomonadati; Pseudomonadota; Gammaproteobacteria; Enterobacterales; Enterobacteriaceae
Description: partial 23S ribosomal RNA
Rfam family: Bacterial large subunit ribosomal RNA
Source: RNAcentral
CCGGCGAUUUCCGAAUGGGGAAACCCAGUGUGUUUCGACACACUAUCAUUAACUGAAUCCAUAGGUUAAUGAGGCGAACCGGGGGAACUGAAACAUCUAAGUACCCCGAGGAAAAGAAAUCAACCGAGAUUCCCCCAGUAGCGGCGAGCGAACGGGGAGGAGCCCAGAGCCUGAAUCAGUGUGUGUGUUAGUGGAAGCGUCUGGAAAGGCGCGCGAUACAGGGUGACAGCCCCGUACACAAAAAUGCACAUAUUGUGAGCUCGAUGAGUAGGGCGGGACACGUGGUAUCCUGUCUGAAUAUGGGGGGACCAUCCUCCAAGGCUAAAUACUCCUGACUGACCGAUAGUGAACCAGUACCGUGAGGGAAAGGCGAAAAGAACCCCGGCGAGGGGAGUGAAAAAGAACCUGAAACCGUGUACGUACAAGCAGUGGGAGCCUCUUUAUGGGGUGACUGCGUACCUUUUGUAUAAUGGGUCAGCGACUUAUAUUCUGUAGCAAGGUUAACCGAAUAGGGGAGCCGAAGGGAAACCGAGUCUUAACUGGGCGUUAAGUUGCAGGGUAUAGACCCGAAACCCGGUGAUCUAGCCAUGGGCAGGUUGAAGGUUGGGUAACACUAACUGGAGGACCGAACCGACUAAUGUUGAAAAAUUAGCGGAUGACUUGUGGCUGGGGGUGAAAGGCCAAUCAAACCGGGAGAUAGCUGGUUCUCCCCGAAAGCUAUUUAGGUAGCGCCUCGUGAAUUCAUCUCCGGGGGUAGAGCACUGUUUCGGCAAGGGGGUCAUCCCGACUUACCAACCCGAUGCAAACUGCGAAUACCGGAGAAUGUUAUCACGGGAGACACACGGCGGGUGCUAACGUCCGUCGUGAAGAGGGAAACAACCCAGACCGCCAGCUAAGGUCCCAAAGUCAUGGUUAAGUGGGAAACGAUGUGGGAAGGCCCAGACAGCCAGGAUGUUGGCUUAGAAGCAGCCAUCAUUUAAAGAAAGCGUAAUAGCUCACUGGUCGAGUCGGCCUGCGCGGAAGAUGUAACGGGGCUAAACCAUGCACCGAAGCUGCGGCAGCGACACUAUGUGUUGUUGGGUAGGGGAGCGUUCUGUAAGCCUGUGAAGGUGGCCUGUGAGGGUUGCUGGAGGUAUCAGAAGUGCGAAUGCUGACAUAAGUAACGAUAAAGCGGGUGAAAAGCCCGCUCGCCGGAAGACCAAGGGUUCCUGUCCAACGUUAAUCGGGGCAGGGUGAGUCGACCCCUAAGGCGAGGCCGAAAGGCGUAGUCGAUGGGAAACAGGUUAAUAUUCCUGUACUUGGUGUUACUGCGAAGGGGGGACGGAGAAGGCUAUGUUGGCCGGGCGACGGUUGUCCCGGUUUAAGCGUGUAGGCUGGUUUUCCAGGCAAAUCCGGAAAACCAAGGCUGAGGCGUGAUGACGAGGCACUACGGUGCUGAAGCGACAAAUGCCCUGCUUCCAGGAAAAGCCUCUAAGCAUCAGGUAACAUCAAAUCGUACCCCAAACCGACACAGGUGGUCAGGUAGAGAAUACCAAGGCGCUUGAGAGAACUCGGGUGAAGGAACUAGGCAAAAUGGUGCCGUAACUUCGGGAGAAGGCACGCUGAUAUGUAGGUGAAGCGACUUGCUCGUGGAGCUGAAAUCAGUCGAAGAUACCAGCUGGCUGCAACUGUUUAUUAAAAACACAGCACUGUGCAAACACGAAAGUGGACGUAUACGGUGUGACGCCUGCCCGGUGCCGGAAGGUUAAUUGAUGGGGUUAGCGGUAACGCGAAGCUCUUGAUCGAAGCCCCGGUAAACGGCGGCCGUAACUAUAACGGUCCUAAGGUAGCGAAAUUCCUUGUCGGGUAAGUUCCGACCUGCACGAAUGGCGUAAUGAUGGCCAGGCUGUCUCCACCCGAGACUCAGUGAAAUUGAACUCGCUGUGAAGAUGCAGUGUACCCGCGGCAAGACGGAAAGACCCCGUGAACCUUUACUAUAGCUUGACACUGAACAUUGAGCCUUGAUGUGUAGGAUAGGUGGGAGGCUUUGAAGUGUGGACGCCAGUCUGCAUGGAGCCGACCUUGAAAUACCACCCUUUAAUGUUUGAUGUUCUAACGUUGGCCCGUAAUCCGGGUUGCGGACAGUGUCUGGUGGGUAGUUUGACUGGGGCGGUCUCCUCCUAAAGAGUAACGGAGGAGCACGAAGGUUGGCUAAUCCUGGUCGGACAUCAGGAGGUUAGUGCAAUGGCAUAAGCCAGCUUGACUGCGAGCGUGACGGCGCGAGCAGGUGCGAAAGCAGGUCAUAGUGAUCCGGUGGUUCUGAAUGGAAGGGCCAUCGCUCAACGGAUAAAAGGUACUCCGGGGAUAACAGGCUGAUACCGCCCAAGAGUUCAUAUCGACGGCGGUGUUUGGCACCUCGAUGUCGGCUCAUCACAUCCUGGGGCUGAAGUAGGUCCCAAGGGUAUGGCUGUUCGCCAUUUAAAGUGGUACGCGAGCUGGGUUUAGAACGUCGUGAGACAGUUCGGUCCCUAUCUGCCGUGGGCGCUGGAGAACUGAGGGGGGCUGCUCCUAGUACGAGAGGACCGGAGUGGACGCAUCACUGGUGUUCGGGUUGUCAUGCCAAUGGCACUGCCCGGUAGCUAAAUGCGGAAGAGAUAAGUGCUGAAAGCAUCUAAGCACGAAACUUGCCCCGAGAUGAGUUCUCCCUGAGACUUAGAGUCUCCUGAAGGAACGUUGAAGACGACGACGUUGAUAGGCCGGGUGUGUAAGCGCAGCGAUGCGUUGAGCUAACCGGUACUAAUGAACCGUGAGG